Molecule: ribosomal RNA, 253 nt
Filed under: uncultured bacterium
Lineage: Bacteria
Description: partial 16S ribosomal RNA
Rfam family: Bacterial small subunit ribosomal RNA
Source: RNAcentral
UACAUGGGGUGCAAACGUUGCUCGGAAUUAUUGGGCGUAAAGCGCGCGUAGGCGGUUACUUAAGUCGGAUGUGAAAGCCCUCGGCUUAACUGAGGAAGUGCACCCGAAACUGAGUAGCUGGAGUACGAAAGAGGGUCGCGGAAUUCCCGGUGUAGAGGUGAAAUUCGUAGAUAUCGGGAGGAACACCGGUGGCGAAGGCGGCGACCUGGGUCGAGACUGACGCUGAGGCGCGAAAGCUAGGGGAGCGAACGGG